RNAcentral lists this ribosomal RNA (548 nucleotides) under uncultured Glomeromycotina. RNAcentral describes it as "SSU rRNA". It matches the Rfam family "Eukaryotic small subunit ribosomal RNA", at positions 548 to 1098 of the family's 1831-position model. Lineage: Eukaryota; Fungi; Glomeromycota. The record is from RNAcentral.
UUGGAGGGCAAGUCUGGUGCCAGCAGCCGCGGUAAUUCCAGCUCCAAUAGCGUAUAUUAAAGUUGUUGCAGUUAAAAAGCUCGUAGUUGAAUUUCGGGAUCAGAUUGUCGGUCGUGCCUCGGUACGCACUGGCAUUAUUGGUUCCUACCUUCUGAAGAACCGCGAUGUCAUUAAUUUGGUGUCGUGGGGAAUCAGGACUGUUACUUUGAAAAAAUUAGAGUGUUUAAAGCAGGCGCACGCUUGAAUACAUUAGCAUGGAAUAAUGAAAUAGGACGUUUGAUUCUAUUUUGUUGGUUUCUAGGAUCGACGUAAUGAUUAAUAGGGAUAGUUGGGGGCAUUAGUAUUCAAUUGUCAGAGGUGAAAUUCUUGGAUUUAUUGAAGACUAACUACUGCGAAAGCAUUUGCCAAGGAUGUUUUCAUUAAUCAAGAACGAAAGUUAGAGGAUCGAAGACGAUCAGAUACCGUCGUAGUCUUAACCAUAAACUAUGCCGACUAGGGAUCGGAUGAUGUUAAUUUUUUAAUGACUCAUUCGGCGCCUUACGGGAAAC